Molecule: ribosomal RNA, 465 nt
Filed under: uncultured Klebsiella sp.
Lineage: Bacteria; Pseudomonadati; Pseudomonadota; Gammaproteobacteria; Enterobacterales; Enterobacteriaceae
Description: bacterial SSU rRNA
Rfam family: Bacterial small subunit ribosomal RNA
Source: RNAcentral
CCUACGGGAGGCUGCAGUGGGGAAUAUUGCACAAUGGGCGCAAGCCUGAUGCAGCCAUGCCGCGUGUGUGAAGAAGGCCUUCGGGUUGUAAAGCACUUUCAGCGGGGAGGAAGGCGGUGAGUUUAAUAACCUCAUCGAUUGACGUUACCCGCAGAAGAAGCACCGGCUAACUCCGUGCCAGCAGCCGCGGUAAUACGGAGGGUGCAAGCGUUAAUCGGAAUUACUGGGCGUAAAGCGCACGCAGGCGGUCUGUCAAGUCGGAUGUGAAAUCCCCGGGCUCAACCUGGGAACUGCAUUCGAAACUGGCAGGCUAGAGUCUUGUAGAGGGGGGUAGAAUUCCAGGUGUAGCGGUGAAAUGCGUAGAGAUCUGGAGGAAUACCGGUGGCGAAGGCGGCCCCCUGGACAAAGACUGACGCUCAGGUGCGAAAGCGUGGGGAGCAAACAGGAUUAGAUACCCGAGUAGUC